Molecule: long non-coding RNA, 453 nt
Filed under: Mustela putorius furo (domestic ferret)
Lineage: Eukaryota; Metazoa; Chordata; Mammalia; Carnivora; Mustelidae
Description: lncRNA (ENSMPUG00000025724.1)
Source: RNAcentral
CUUUAUAAUAGUCUUUUUUCCUCUGCAGUAUACUUUACUAGCAGUGUUCUCUAGUUCUGGUUCUCUUCUUCUGGGCCCACAGAUUACCCUUCUCAGCCUGGGCAGUGCAUGGGUGUGGUUCGUUCUGGCCAAUGAGCUGCUGGGAGGAAGGAAUGUGCGCCAUUUCCUGGCUGAAGAGCAGAAGGGCGGUUGUGAGAUCUCUGCAGAUGCUCUUCCCUGUUAAAGGAACCCAGGAGGCUGAGUGCUGGAGACACUGCAGAUACAAGCCAAGAAGCUUCUAUCCACCUGUUGCUGACCCUCGGCAAACAUGCAGCUUGAGCUUCUAUUAUGAUAUAAAGCAACCAAACGCCAUGUCUUAUACUGCCGCAGACUCAAAAAAGCAUCUACAAUGCGGCCCCGAGGGCUGAUCCAUUUAUUGAAGUCAAAAAAAGGUUAGACUUUCUCCUUAACCUC